CUGUAUAAGACUGGCGCUCUCAAUGAAUCUUUGCCACAACGUCUGCUAACCUCCUUUUCUCUGGAUCAUCUACUCACCUUCACAGUUUAGUCACGCUUUUCCUGGACGCUGGUCAUCUCUGUUCAUUUACAGUCACGUCCUACGCUAACUCUGUUCCUUGUCCUCGGUUGCCUGUCUCCCUGCCUUCUCCUCACGGUCCAUCACUGGACCACUGUUCUUGGACCCACAGCUCGUUGAUACUCACCCGGACCGCCUCGACUACUUCCCCCCACACCACUCUUUGCCCGCCAACAAUGACUCUAAUUACCACCCCUUGAACCACAACCCAUUCCCCGAGACCCCCUGUAGAACCCGCUUCAUGCUCACAGCUCCAUGCACCCGAUUCUUACCAUAGUUCACAGUUUAUGCUCUAUGUGUCAAGUGUCUCUUGAGAAAGCCUCUGUACCUCCGGCUGAAUCUGCAUUUUGGAUCCACUCUCUCGCUCUGGCCAUUCCUCAGUCAGUAAGGCUUUGAGAAAAAAACUAAACAUUUUGAUAACUCAGAUUUUAAAAGGUGGUGAAAAGUUUUUAUUCAUUGAUUGCAGAGUUGAAGUGAUUGACUUAUUGUUCAUGUUUUGACAAAUGUGAAUAAGGUUUUGAUUGUUGUGUCUUUUGUGAUGAAAAAUGUCCUAACUGUUUGAGAACACUCAAGAAUUCUGCCAUUGACUUUUCUGAGAAUUGAGUCAAAUCAACUGAGAAAAACUGUAAGCAACACGCUUGUCUCAUUUAUUUAGACAAUUAAUAAGCUAGUUAACCGCUUAUGCAAACAACAUGCUCUGCUUAUCUUUUGCACAUGCUGUGUCUUAAGUAUUUGUUUCUGAGAGCAACAAAUAAAGACAACACAUCAACAAAAUCUAAACAACUAAGCAAAUGUUAUUACUGGUUAAAAGUUGGCUUUUUUUUUACGCAUUUGUUCUGACGGAUUUCAUAAGGUCAGACAAUAGAGAUUAUCAAAAUGGAGAUGACAUAUAAGAUAAUGCUGUCACAUCCUGAUCAUAUAGUCAUUUAUUCUCUGACAUGGUCAGAACAUCUGGAAAUGCUCUCUGUUGUGUUCAGACAUUUCCGUGAUGCUUUUCUUUUUCAUGCUUCUCACAUUAAACCUCUCU
Molecule: long non-coding RNA, 1144 nt
Organism: Oreochromis niloticus (Nile tilapia)
Lineage: Eukaryota; Metazoa; Chordata; Actinopteri; Cichliformes; Cichlidae
Exons: 3
Source: RefSeq, a predicted model, not a curated record